Molecule: ribosomal RNA, 495 nt
Filed under: uncultured bacterium
Lineage: Bacteria
Description: bacterial SSU rRNA
Rfam family: Bacterial small subunit ribosomal RNA
Source: RNAcentral
AACGAACGCUGGCGGCGCGCCUAAUACAUGCAAGUCGAACGAGAAGCUGUAGCAAUACAGUUGUACAGUGGCGAACGGGUGAGGAAUACAUGGGUGACCUACCCUCGAGUGGGGAAUAACCAGCCGAAAGGUUGGCUAAUACCGCGUACGCUUCCCAGUCUACGGGUUGGGAAGGAAAGCGAUGCCGUGGGUAUCGCGCUCAAGGUUGGGCUCAUGUCCUAUCAGCUUGNGGUGGGGUAACGGCUCACCAAGGCAACGACGGGUAGCUGGUCUGAGAGGACGAUCAGCCACACUGGCACUGCGACACGGGCCAGACUCCUACGGGAGGCAGCAGUAAGGAAUAUUGCGCAAUGGGCGAAAGCCUGACGCAGCGACGCCGCGUGGGGGAUGAAGGUCUUCGGAUUGUAAACCCCUUUCGGGAGGGAAGAUGGACGAGCAAUCGUUCGGACGGUACCUCCAGAAGCAGCCACGGCUAACUUCGUGCCAGCAGCCGCU